Molecule: ribosomal RNA, 874 nt
Filed under: uncultured bacterium
Lineage: Bacteria
Description: bacterial SSU rRNA
Rfam family: Bacterial small subunit ribosomal RNA
Source: RNAcentral
CACAUGCAGUCGAACGAAGCACUUUAUUUGAUUUCCUUCGGGACUGAUUAUUUUGUGACUGAGUGGCGGACGGGUGAGUAACGCGUGGGUAACCUGCCUUGUACAGGGGGAUAACAGUUGGAAACGGCUGCUAAUACCGCAUAAGCGCACGGCAUCGCAUGAUGCAGUGUGAAAAACUCCGGUGGUAUAAGAUGGACCCGCGUUGGAUUAGCUAGUUGGUGAGGUAACGGCCCACCAAGGCGACGAUCCAUAGCCGACCUGAGAGGGUGACCGGCCACAUUGGGACUGAGACACGGCCCAAACUCCUACGGGAGGCAGCAGUGGGGAAUAUUGCACAAUGGGCGAAAGCCUGAUGCAGCGACGCCGCGUGAGCGAAGAAGUAUUUCGGUAUGUAAAGCUCUAUCAGCAGGGAAGAUAAUGACGGUACCUGACUAAGAGGCACCGGCUAAAUACGUGCCAGCAGCCGCGGUAAUACGUAUGGUGCAAGCGUUAUCCGGAUUUACUGGGUGUAAAGGGAGCGCAGGCGGUGCGGCAAGUCUGAUGUGAAAGCCCGGGGCUCAACCCCGGUACUGCAUUGGAAACUGUCGUACUAGAGUGUCGGAGGGGUAAGCGGAAUUCCUAGUGUAGCGGUGAAAUGCGUAGAUAUUAGGAGGAACACCAGUGGCGAAGGCGGCUUACUGGACGAUAACUGACGCUGAGGCUCGAAAGCGUGGGGAGCAAACAGGAUUAGAUACCCUGGUAGUCCACGCCGUAGACGAUGAAUACUAGGUGUUGGGAAGCAUUGCUUCUCGGUGCCGUCGCAGACGCAGUAAGUAUUCCACCUGGGGAGUACGUUCGCAAGAAUGAAACUCAGAGGAAUUGACGGGGACCCGCA